AACCUCAAGGAUGCGCCUACUUACUUUCAGGUGGCCUCGUUCCUGUAGUCGGCGCGACAACUCUCUUCGACUCACAGUGACAAAUCAACAUUUUUCAUGUGUGUGUUGCAAAACCACACAAUGGUAUGAAUGGUGAAUGAAUGUGAGUGUGAAUGUGAGUGUGAAUGAGCGUAUGAAUGUUACUACAACUGACUCUCCACAUGCAAACUACACUUCAUCCAUACCAGAGCUCUGUCGGCUUUGCAGUAGGAGGCUGCCCCACCUACACAAUACACACACUACAACACUACCGGUGGCCUCGUUCCUGUAGUCGGCGCGACAACUCUCUUCGACUCACAGUGACAAAUCAACAUUUUUCAUGUGUGUGUUGCAAAACCACACAAUGGUAUGAAUGGUGAAUGAAUGUGAGUGUGAAUGUGAGUGUGAAUGAGCGUAUGAAUGUUACUACAACUGACUCUCCACAUGCAAACUACACUUCAUCCAUACCAGAGCUCUGUCGGCUUUGCAGUAGGAGGCUGCCCCACCUACACAAUACACACACUACAACACUACCGGU
Molecule: long non-coding RNA, 556 nt
Organism: Homalodisca vitripennis (glassy-winged sharpshooter)
Lineage: Eukaryota; Metazoa; Arthropoda; Insecta; Hemiptera; Cicadellidae
Exons: 4
Source: RefSeq, a predicted model, not a curated record